AGCUCCAAUAGCGUAUAUUAAAGUUGUUGCGGUUAAAAAGCUCGUAGUUGGAUCUCGGCAGGCAGGGGGUGGUUCGCUCCUUAGCGCUACUGCCCCAUUUGCCUGUGUGAUUGGCAGAGGUUUCGGGGUGCCCUUUAUUGAGUGACCCGGAGCGCUGUCGGGUUUACUUUGAAAAAAUUAGAGUGCUCAAAGCAGGCUUUUCACGCUUGAAUAUUCGUGCAUGGAAUAAUAGAAUAGGAACUCGUUUCUAUUUUGUUGGUUUUCGGAAAUCGAGUUAAUGAUUGAUAGGGACGGUUGGGGGCAUCCGUAUUCUCAAGCGAGAGGUGAAAUUCUUGGACCUUGGGAAGACGAACAGCUGCGAAAGCGUUUGCCUAGGACGUUC
This 382-nucleotide ribosomal RNA is filed under the name uncultured eukaryote. Its description in RNAcentral is "SSU rRNA". It matches the Rfam family "Eukaryotic small subunit ribosomal RNA", at positions 587 to 969 of the family's 1831-position model. The record is from RNAcentral.